RNAcentral lists this ribosomal RNA (89 nucleotides) under Paenibacillus polymyxa. RNAcentral also lists the same sequence under 2 other names. The record is from RNAcentral. Lineage: Bacteria; Bacillati; Bacillota; Bacilli; Caryophanales; Paenibacillaceae.
ACGUACCCAUCCCGAACACGACCGUUAAGCCCUCCAGCGCCGAUGGUACUUGGACCGCAGGGUCCUGGGAGAGUAGGACGCCGCCAAGC